RNAcentral lists this ribosomal RNA (356 nucleotides) under uncultured fungus. Its description in RNAcentral is "LSU rRNA". It matches the Rfam family "Eukaryotic large subunit ribosomal RNA", at positions 67 to 424 of the family's 3401-position model. The record is from RNAcentral. Lineage: Eukaryota; Fungi.
AACACGGGAUUUGCCUCAGUAACGGCGAGGAAGCGGCAACAGCUCAAAUUUGAAAUCUGGCUCACGCCCGAGUUGUAUUUGUAGAGGAUGCUUCGGGUGAAGCCGCGGUCCAAGUCCCUUGGAACAGGACGUCAUAGAGGGUGAGAACCCCGUACCUGGCCCCCGGUGCCCCCCGCUGUGAAGCUCCUUCGACGAGUCGAGUUGUUUGGGAAUGCAGCUCUAAAUUGGUGGUAAAUUCCAUCUAAGGCUAAAUACCGGCCAGAGACCGAUAGCGCACAAGUAGAGUGAUCGAAAGAUGAAAAGCACUUUGAAAAGAGAGUUAAAAAGUACGUGAAAUUGUUGAAAGGGAAGCGCUU